CCUACGGGGGGCAGCAGUGAGGAAUAUUGGUCAAUGGACGAGAGUCUGAACCAGCCAAGUAGCGUGAAGGAUGAAUGCCCUAUGGGUUGUAAACUUCUUUUAUAUGGGAAUAAAAUGUUCCACGUGUGGGAUUUUGUAUGUACCAUAUGAAUAAGGAUCGGCUAACUCCGUGCCAGCAGCCGCGGUAAUACGGAGGAUCCGAGCGUUAUCCGGUUUGAUUGGGUUUAAAGGGAGCGUAGGUGGAUUGGUAAGUCAGUUGUGAAAGUUUGCGGCUCAACCGUAAAAUUGCAGUUGAAACUGGCAGUCUUGAGUACAGUAGAGGUGGGCGGAAUUCGUGGUGUAGCGGUGAAAUGCUUAGAUAGCACGAAGAACACCGAUUGCGAAGGCAGCUCACUGGACUGCAACUGACACUGAGGCUCGAAAGUGUGGGUAUCAAACAGGAUUAGAUACCCUGGUAGUC
Molecule: ribosomal RNA, 460 nt
Filed under: uncultured bacterium
Lineage: Bacteria
Description: partial 16S ribosomal RNA
Rfam family: Bacterial small subunit ribosomal RNA
Source: RNAcentral